GACGAACGCUGGCGGCGUGCUUAACACAUGCAAGUCGAACGAAGAGCGAUGGAAGCUUGCUUCUAUCAAUCUUAGUGGCGAACGGGUGAGUAACGCGUAAUCAACCUGCACUUCAGAGGGGGACAACAGUUGGAAACGACUGCUAAUACCGCAUACGAUCUAAUCUCGGCAUCGAGGAUAGAUGAAAGGUGGCCUCUACAUGUAAGCUAUCACUGAAGGAGGGGAAUGCGUCUGAUUAGCUAGUUGGAGGGGUAACGGCCCACCCAGGCGAUGAUCGGUAGCCGGUCUGAGAGGAUGAACGGCCACAUUGGGACUGAGACACGGCCCAGACUCCUACGGGAGGCAGCAGUGGGGAAUCUUCCGCAAUUGACGAAAGUCUGACGGGGCAACGCCGCGUGAGUGAUGACGGCCUUCGGGUUGUAAAGCUCUGUUAAUCGGGACGAAAGGACUUCUUGCGAAUAGAGAGAAGGAUUGACGGUACCGGAAUAGAAAGCCACGGCUAACUACGUG
RNAcentral lists this ribosomal RNA (510 nucleotides) under uncultured bacterium. RNAcentral's name for it is "partial 16S ribosomal RNA". It matches the Rfam family "Bacterial small subunit ribosomal RNA", at positions 28 to 507 of the family's 1533-position model. The record is from RNAcentral.